GUGGGGAAUAUUGGACAAUGGGCGCAAGCCUGAUCCAGCCAUGCCGCGUGAGUGAUGAAGGCCCUAGGGUUGUAAAGCUCUUUCAACGGUGAAGAUAAUGACGGUAACCGUAGAAGAAGCCCCGGCUAACUUCGUGCCAGCAGCCGCGGUAAUACGAAGGGGGCUAGCGUUGUUCGGAAUUACUGGGCGUAAAGCGCACGUAGGCGGAUCGUUAAGUCGGGGGUGAAAUCCCGGGGCUCAACCCCGGAACUGCCUUCGAUACUGGCGAGCUAGAGUUCGAGAGAGGUGAGUGGAAUUCCGAGUGUAGAGGUGAAAUUCGUAGAUAUUCGGAGGAACACCAGUGGCGAAGGCGGCUCACUGGCUCGAUACUGACGCUGAGGUGCGAAAGCGUGGGGAGCAAACAGGAUUAGAUACCCGAGUAGUCC
Molecule: ribosomal RNA, 425 nt
Filed under: uncultured bacterium
Lineage: Bacteria
Description: partial 16S ribosomal RNA
Rfam family: Bacterial small subunit ribosomal RNA
Source: RNAcentral